CAGGGGAAAAAUAAAGAAUACCACAACUGUGCAGCAGCUUGGCUAAUUCCUCAGGAAGGCCUUUUUCUUUCUAAAAGGACUAUCUCAGAAGUACUAUAUCAAAUGACCUGAAACAAUAUAAAACCAAGGGAAAGGCUCUUACUGGGUCUCAAGAGGAGAGGACGUUUAAUUACCUAUAUGACCCCAACAGUCUCAGACUUUGCUUUGUGGCUUCUCUUUCACUGUAUGAUUUGUAUGGAUUUAUUGGAAAACACAAAGACUUCCAGGAACUGCUAGCAAGCCAGACUCAUUUAUGUUUCCUAGUAGAAAGAAGUCAGCCAUCUGCAAGCCAAGAAACAAUCUAUCUCCAGAAACUGAUGCUGCAGGACCUUAAUCUGGGACUUCCAGCCUCCAGAACUAUGCAUCUUCCUAGCACCAAAGGGAUGUUGAAAAGCAGCAGGAAGGUCCUGCGCUACCUUUCGUGGUAAAAUAUUAAGGGUUGAGCAGGCAUGAUACAGCCUGGAUGGUGUGGCGUCCCAGAGGAAGAUCCCUGUUCUUGGUCCUCUGGCGUCUAAAAAAGCUCCACAGAAUAAUGAGUAGAGUGGCAGAUCCCCAGCGGAAGUGGAAGUAUUAAAUGCAAAAACGUGAGCCAGUUGUCUUGUGCGCCUCAAUCCUGCUGGCAGGGAAGAGCAUCAAGCGGGCACAUCCCCAGACCCACCCGGGAAGCUGGCCGCCACCGGCCCACAGGCGGGGGGGUCUCUUCCGUGAAGAGACCUUCGCUGUAUUCACUUAGCUCCCCCUCGGGGAGAAGCCGACUAAGUUAGGUGAGCACCUACACACCCCUCGAAGCCCCAGCUCCCCGCGCCCCGCCUACAGCCUCCUACCUGCAGAGAAGCAGAGCAAGGACAGCCGAUGCCCCAGGCGGGCCAAGCCCAGCACCGUGGGAGCAAAGAACAUGGCUUCAUCGUCCGGGUGCGCGAUCACCAGCAAGGUCCUGCUGCCAUCCCCCAGGACGCCAGCCUGCUCCUGACUCUUCGUUCUUUCCCGGGAGUCCCAAACCCGGAGGAAACCCCACGCCAGGAGCGCCGCCGCAGCCAAACACAGGAGGCCCGCGGCUUCCAUCCUCGCCUCCGAGGCACUGCGCCUGCGCAGGAGGAAGGCUGCCGCACAUCCAAGCUCCGGCGGGAAAACUGCACUCGCGGAAAUUACGUUCCGAGGUUGAGUCCGUUUUGCCCACCAGAAGCUUCCGACGUUGGGUUCCUGUUGUGGUUCCACAAGGACACCUCCCAACCCUCCUUUAUCUCGUUCUCUCUACUUUAAGCAGCACCGACGAUGUCUUUUUUUUUUUUUUUUUUUGCUUUCUCGAUUUCUGAGACGAACCCUUUGGCCGUCAGCUUUUACCCUUGUCCUUACAAUGGGUUAAAACAAAACACGGGUUAAAACAAAACAAAAUAAAACAGCGAAUGAAAAAUA
This is a long non-coding RNA of Canis lupus familiaris (dog), 1452 nucleotides long. RefSeq lists it as uncharacterized. Lineage: Eukaryota; Metazoa; Chordata; Mammalia; Carnivora; Canidae. The record is from RefSeq and is a predicted model, not a curated record. The transcript is spliced from 4 exons.